GAUUAAAUAGUGCGCGCGGGGCGGAGCCGGGUAGCCCGCGGGCCGCGCAUGCGCCGCCUUGCCUCUGGCAGCCCUGCCUGCCCUGGUGAGGUUCGGCUGUAACUGUCGCCCAGUCGGGAUGACUUCGCCCCAGGCCUCCCCACGAGGACGUCGGUGCGAGGAUGGCUGGCUCCCUUUCCUUAUUUGGAGGAAACAACAAAAAUCAACAAACGUAACGAAGAAAACAGCUGCAGUGCUCACCGAGUAAAGGACCCACAGUUUCUAAGCAUGUCCACGAAUGCGACUCCGAUGAGACCAUCUACGUUCAGGAUAAGAUUUGGCUUCUGGGAAGGCAACACAUUCAAAGCAUUUAUCAUUAUUUCUCAUUUUUUCUUCAUAAUUUUCCACUGUUACUACUAUUACUACGAAUUGUGACCAUCAUUUAAAAACUUCUACCAGCCCCACUGGUUGACACUGUGUCUGACUCAGUUCAAUUUCCAGCAUCUAGCAACAUACCCAACACCUAGCUGACAUUUAGUGCAUGUCUGUUAAAUUUAGUUACGAAACAAAAAUAACAUUUCCAGAAAACUAGGUUUGCUUUUAGCUGCAUAAUCAAAAUGUAACCUGGCUCCUAUUUCCUCCAAUAAAUUUGUCCAACGUAA
This is a non-coding RNA of Macaca mulatta (Rhesus monkey), 641 nucleotides long. Lineage: Eukaryota; Metazoa; Chordata; Mammalia; Primates; Cercopithecidae. The record is from RefSeq and is a predicted model, not a curated record.